Molecule: long non-coding RNA, 604 nt
Organism: Chinchilla lanigera (long-tailed chinchilla)
Lineage: Eukaryota; Metazoa; Chordata; Mammalia; Rodentia; Chinchillidae
Exons: 4
Source: RefSeq, a predicted model, not a curated record
GAGUGCUGGGAUCACAGGUGUGCACCACCACGCCCGGCCAAGGGAGGAAACUGUGACACAUGCUACAGCAUGGAUGGAACUUGAGCACAGGAUGCUGGGUGACAUCAGCAGACACAAAAUGACGAACACCGCGCAGUUCUAUGCCCGGAGAGUUCCCAGAGCCAUGGGAUCCACAGAGACAGGAAGACCAGCGCUGUGUUCCGAUGUGCUUCCUGCCUCAGCCUGCGGAGGUGCCAGUGGCGCCGACCACUGUGUAACAUUUUGAGGUAGAAAGAGCUGAAUGAUAGCACCGGGCGCACAGAGGUGGCGGUGGUGGGAUGGAGCCCCGCGAGGUCCAGCUGAGAAAGCCGAAGCACGCCGAGCUCGUUCCCCUGCGCGGAAGGCACAGCGACAGAAAGCUGGCCAACACAAGGAAAAGUAGAGUGGCGUGGGAACAGGAUACUGGAGUGUCCCUGUGGCUCAGAGACUGAAGUGUCUGACGCCACCCCGAGUACCCUGCCCACCUGCUCGGCCUUCAGGGAAUUGGUGACACGAUGACAGCUGCCUCCCCUUGGCUGGUCCGAGGCCACCCAGCAGCCCUAGCCCUGGUCCCACUCGCCUCCAC